RNAcentral lists this unclassified non-coding RNA (18 nucleotides) under Mus musculus (house mouse). Its description in RNAcentral is "oocyte_clustered_small_RNA7316". Lineage: Eukaryota; Metazoa; Chordata; Mammalia; Rodentia; Muridae. The record is from RNAcentral.
UUAGGCUGCUAUGCCCAG